AACGAACGCUGGCGGCAUGCCUAACACAUGCAAGUCGAACGAUCCCUUCGGGGAUAGUGGCGAACGGGUGCGUAACGCGUGGGAACCUGCCCUUAGGUGCGGAAUAACUCAGAGAAAUUUGAGCUAAUACCGGAGAAUGUCUUCGGACCAAAGAUUUAUCGCCUUUGGAUGGGCCCGCGUUGGAUUAGCUAGUUGGUGGGGUAAAGGCCUACCAAGGGGACGAUCCAUAGCUGGUCUGAGAGGAUGAUCAGCCACACUGGGACUGAGACACGGCCCAGACUCCUACGGGAGGCAGCAGUGGGGAAUAUUGGACAAUGAGCGAGCGCCUGAUCCAGCAAUGCCGCGUGAGUGAUGCAGGCCUUAGGGUUGAAUAGCUCUUUUACCCGGGAUGCUAAUGACAGUACCGGGAGAAUAAGCCCCGGCUAACUCCGUG
Molecule: ribosomal RNA, 433 nt
Filed under: uncultured bacterium
Lineage: Bacteria
Description: partial 16S ribosomal RNA
Rfam family: Bacterial small subunit ribosomal RNA
Source: RNAcentral